AGCUCCAAUAGCGUAUAUUAAAGUUGUUGUGGUUAAAAAGCUCGUAGUUGGAUUUCGGCGGGCAUGAGUUGGUUUGAAUCGCUUCAAUACUGACUUCUUUUGCCCGUGUGUUUUGCCAGAAUCUAGCAGGUGAUCUUUACCGAUUGUCCGUUGGGGCUGGUAGGUUUACUUUGAAAAAAUUAGAGUGCUCAAAGCAAGCUUGAUUGCUUGAAUAUUCGUGCAUGGAAUAAUAGAAUAGGAAGUCGUUUCUAUUUUGUUGGUUUUUGGAAAUUGACUUAAUGAUUAAUAGGGAUAGUCGGGGGCAUUUGUAUUCAAACGACAGAGGUGAAAUUCUUGGACCGUUUGAAGACAAACUACUGCGAAAGCAUUUGCCAAGAAUGUUUUCA
This 386-nucleotide ribosomal RNA is filed under the name marine copepod environmental sample. RNAcentral describes it as "SSU rRNA". It matches the Rfam family "Eukaryotic small subunit ribosomal RNA", at positions 587 to 972 of the family's 1831-position model. The record is from RNAcentral. Lineage: Eukaryota; Metazoa; Arthropoda; Copepoda.